Molecule: non-coding RNA, 48 nt
Organism: Schistosoma rodhaini
Lineage: Eukaryota; Metazoa; Platyhelminthes; Trematoda; Strigeidida; Schistosomatidae
Source: Rfam
AUCCAACUGAUGAAUCUCAAAUAGGAUGAAAUGACGCGCAUCCUGGAU